This 306-nucleotide long non-coding RNA is filed under the name Phoenix dactylifera (date palm). Its description in RNAcentral is "long non-coding RNA (PDAC_LNC003327)". Lineage: Eukaryota; Viridiplantae; Streptophyta; Magnoliopsida; Arecales; Arecaceae. The record is from RNAcentral.
UAACUAUGGGAACCUAGCACUCUGCAACCCAAGUUACAGAUCCUCUAUGAUGGACGUUUUUGUACAGUAGAGAGUUGUGCAUGGUCGGACAACCUCCAUAUUAUUCAUCUUAGAAACGAAGGGCAUCGCAAUGGGGUUGCCAACUAUAUGGCGCUGAGAGAUUGUGCAAGAGCCCUUCAUUUUCGAGAUGAGCAAUGUGGCAGCGCUUUAUGGUGCAAACUACAAAGCAUGCAUCGUACAAGAUCUAGGAUCCCUCACCCCUAAAUAAAAAUAACAAGCAUGUUUUUAAUAGAUAAAAACAUAUUU